This 161-nucleotide small RNA is filed under the name human gut metagenome. RNAcentral describes it as "Clostridiales-1 RNA". It matches the Rfam family "Clostridiales-1 RNA". The record is from RNAcentral.
ACAAGGGUCAAGAAAUCAGAACUCUUAUCCUGCUUGCAGGAUAAGAAUUCUGACUUGCUGACCCGCUCAUACAUGAGGAAGCAGCGAUUUUCCUUUGGAAAAUCAGCGGAUUCCGAAUGUAUGUAGAAUUGUGGGAGUUGCGAAGCAACGGAACAAUUCGU